This 408-nucleotide ribosomal RNA is filed under the name uncultured bacterium. Its description in RNAcentral is "partial 16S ribosomal RNA". It matches the Rfam family "Bacterial small subunit ribosomal RNA", at positions 28 to 526 of the family's 1533-position model. The record is from RNAcentral.
GACGAACGCUGGCGGCGUGCUUAACACAUGCAAGUCGAACGAAGUGGCGAACGGGUGAGUAAUACGUGGGUAACCUGCCCUCCUUUUUGGGAUAAGCCUUGGAAACGGGGUCUAAUACCGAAUAAAGGGGGAUGGGCUCGCGGCCUAUCAGGUUGUUGGUGGGGUGAUGGCCUACCAAGGCGGUGACGGGUAGCCGGCCUGAGAGGGUGAACGGCCACAUUGGGACGGAGAUACGGCCCAGAGUACUAAGGGAGGGAGCAGUGGGGGAUAGUGCACAAUGGGCGAAAGACUGAUGCAGCGACGCCGCGUGGGGGAUGAAGGCUUUCGGGUUGUAAACCUCGUGCGCUAUCGAGCGGGUAGGUGGAGAAGAAGCGCCGGCUAACUACGUGCCAGCAGCCGCGGUAAUUC